Molecule: non-coding RNA, 2363 nt
Organism: Malus domestica (apple)
Lineage: Eukaryota; Viridiplantae; Streptophyta; Magnoliopsida; Rosales; Rosaceae
Source: RefSeq, a predicted model, not a curated record
CUGCUGCUUCUUCCCUCUCUCUCUCUCUUCGACCCAUUGUUCAUCCUUUCCACCGCUUCAAUCUUCCUUCAACUGGCUGUAGGCCCCUUAGCUGCCUGUUGGGUUUUGGUGCUGCCACGUCAUAAGAUAUAUGAUCGUGGCAAUUUUUACGAGCGUGUUCCAUUUGCUUCUGGAAUCUCUUCAUUUCUCUGUGUCUCACAACCCUGGAACCAGAACAGCCCCUCUCAAAAUGCAUGAACCACAACACGAUCUCUCUCAAAAACUGCGAACCAACCAUUACAUGAAUCUGGUCUCCAUUCAAGGAAAAAUUUUAUACCCAGAAGAGGUUGGGUUUCCUGAGUAUGAUUCUCCGGCUCUGGUAAUUCAAGAUAGUUCCUUUGCAAUUUCAAAGUUGGUGGCAGAAUUCUUGAGGAUCUUCCACGAGCAAGUAACGGCGUCUAAGGAUGAUUUGGAGCCAGGAAAAAAUCCCUAAUUUUCUCUGCUUCUUGAGAUCGGCGUGGCUUCCUCGACUAUUUUCACUGAGGUUUCUCGCUUCAAUCGCAAUGCAUUGAUGAUAAUCUCUUUAUAAAAAGGAGCCAUUUUUAUGAUGAGAAUAGAAGAGUUGCCACAAUGCUCGAGGUCACCAACCCCAGGAUUGGAGCUGCUUCAACCUGAAAAAGGGAAAAAGCGGUGGAAAAUGAUUGAAAUGAUUUUUUUACAUCCCUUUCAAGUUUCAAUCAUUGCUGCCCACCAGUUUGCCCAGACCUCAUCUCUCAGCUUUGUGAUCUGUAGACUGCUACAGAAGCAUGCUUUGUUCAAGUCGGCAACAACUACAGAGGUCCAGGACGCCACAGCUGCCUUGCACCAUUUUCCAAAAUCCUCUCUCACUUUGGCAUGCUCAAAGAGUGAUGCAGCGCUGCCAUCCCUGAAUCAGAAAAUACUCAGAAGGAAGAAGAAGAAGAAAGUCGUAGAAUAUCAAAAGCUUUUUGCUUUGUGAAGGUCAGGACGACGCACCUAUCUUUGCAAUGUUGGGAUGUCUAGGCUUGGGUGGAGACGUGGACUUAUGGAACAGGUGAAGUAGCUUAGCUCUAUUUCAUUAGCUCUUAUCUGUUCUAUUAAUGCUAAGAUCAAUAGUAAAAAGUUCUAUUGCUUUUAUAAUCAAAGAUACAUAUAUUAUAUAAACAGAGGAUAUAUCAUUAAUUCUUGAUGUAAACAAUGAUAAUUUGAAGAACCAUUUAAAGUAUUUUCGUAAUCAGCAUACUUAAACUUAAAUGUGAUAUAUCUGUUUAGUUUUUUUUUUAUACAGUGAUAAUAUUCAAGUAUAAUUUGCAUCAUAUAUCUUUUGAAGUACAUGAAACUAUGAAAAAAAAACCCUAAUUAAUCUGAUUAUGGGGUUUUAUAUCAAAAUAUUGCAGCAAAAGUCACACUUUGAAGAGUUCCUCUUAAUAUAUUUUCAAUUUAUAACCUAAUCUUAAUUUGUCUUCAAUUUCUUUUAGAAAUAAGAAUUUCGAUUUCAAUUUUAUUUUGAGAAUUCAUAUACUUACAUUUCUUUUACAGAUUCCUGAAGCUCAUGAUAAUUCUUCCUCUUUAGAUAUAGAUAUAUCUUCAUUUAAUGCACUUAAGAUGCUUUAAUUUUUUGAAUAAUUUGUAUGUGCAGAGUAAUGAACUCUAUCAUUGGCAUCAAUGGCAUGCAAACACAUCUAUCUAAUGAAUGACUGAAAGCAUGGAUAUAAUAUGCAUUUUCUUUGUCAUUUCAACGCAGUGAUAAGCUAGGUUUAACCAUUGAAUUGGGUUCCUUUAAUUAUGUCAUCUACUGACCUCAUAAUAUUCUCACCAACAAUGAAGCAACGAAGAAAUAACAUGUACAAGUAUUUUGUUUUAUUUUUUACCAAUAUGCGUGUUUAGCAAAAGUCCCAGCCCUCUUCACAGUAAUGUGUGUAUCUGAUCAAUUAUUUUUAAACACAACUGUCUUAUCUUAAAGUGCCAAUUGCUAUUGAAUGGCUGAGUGGGUUUCUUUAUCCUAAGAAUUUUUUUUUUCUGCAAUUUCUUUUGGAUUCUCUUUUUUUGUUUGUUUUGUUCGAUAAUUUUCCUCUUAGUUAGGCUGACUAUUUUUUGUUUGGGUUCUAUUUGUGGAUUAUUGUCGCCUCUUCAGCUAUUGAGGCCACCAUUUUUUAGAAUUUGUAGGAACUAGCUGAAACCAUAAAUCUCAACAUAAUGAAGAUGAAGAUGAGCAUUUUAUCUUUUGAUCACUGUAAUGUGUUGCUUAUUUAUCUUCUCAAACACCGGACAUGUAAAUAUUGAUUUAUAAAACUUAUUUAUAUAUUAAUGGUAUUGUCUUAAACGGUGUUUUUAAAACCCGCAGCAAAGCGCGGGCAUUUAUGCUU